RNAcentral lists this transfer RNA (66 nucleotides) under Allobathynella sp. JHS-2017. RNAcentral's name for it is "tRNA-Trp". The record is from RNAcentral. Lineage: Eukaryota; Metazoa; Arthropoda; Malacostraca; Bathynellacea; Parabathynellidae.
AGAGUUUUAAGUUAUAUAUAAACUAGUAACCUUCAAAGUUACCAAAAAUAGUAAUAUUAAAUUUUA